This 624-nucleotide ribosomal RNA is filed under the name Triatoma infestans. Its description in RNAcentral is "SSU rRNA". It matches the Rfam family "Eukaryotic small subunit ribosomal RNA", at positions 598 to 1136 of the family's 1831-position model. Lineage: Eukaryota; Metazoa; Arthropoda; Insecta; Hemiptera; Reduviidae. The record is from RNAcentral.
CGUAUAUUAAAGUUGUUGCGGUUAAAAAGCUCGUAGUUGGUUCUGCGUGCCGCGCUGUCGGUUCGCCGCCUGUCGGUGUAACUGGCAUGUCGCGGCAUGUCCUGUCGGUGGUGAACGGAGUCCACGACGCUACAUGGGCUUUAUAGUCGAUGUUAGCAUCGUGUGUACUUCCGUUGGCCGAUCUCUCCUACUUCGGUGCUCUUAAACGAGUGUCGAGGUAGGCCGACACGUUCACUUUGAACAAAUUAGAGUGCUUAAAGCAGGCUGAAAUAUCUGCCUGAAUAGUGGUGCAUGGAAUGAUAAAACAGGACCUCGGUUCUAUUUUGUUGGUUUUAGGAAUAUGAGGUAAUGAUCAAUGUGGACUGGCGGGGGCAUUCGUAUUGCGACGUUAGAGGUGAAAUUCUUGGAUCGUCGCAAGACGCACUAGAGCGAAAGCAUUUGCCAAGUAUGUCUUAAUUGAUCAAGAACGAAAGUUAGAGGUUCGAAGGCGAUCAGAUACCGCCCUAGUUCUAACCAUAAACGAUGCCAGCCAGCGAUCCGCCGAUGUUCCUUUAAUGACUCGGCGGGGAGCUUCCACCCGGGAAACCAAAGCUUUUGGGUUCCGGGGGAAGUAUGGUUGCAAAG